This 554-nucleotide ribosomal RNA is filed under the name uncultured eukaryote. RNAcentral describes it as "SSU rRNA". It matches the Rfam family "Eukaryotic small subunit ribosomal RNA", at positions 4 to 566 of the family's 1831-position model. The record is from RNAcentral.
CUGGUUGAUCCUGCCAGUAGUCAUAUGCUUGUCUCAAAGACUAAGCCAUGCAUGUCUAAGUAUGAAUGUUAUACAGUGAAACUGCGAAUGGCUCAUUAAAACAGUUAUUGUUUAUUUGAUAAUCAAAUUUACAUGGAUAACCGUGGUAAUUCUAGAGCUAAUACAUGCUGAUAUGCCUGACUCUUAGGAAGGGCUGUAUUUAUUAGAUAACAAACCAAUAUUCCUCGUGUCUAUUGUGAUGACUCAUAAUAACUGAUCGAAUCGCAUGGACUUUGUCCGCGAUACAUCAUUCAAGUUUCUGCCCCAUCAGCUUUCGAUGGUAGUGUAUUGGACUACCAUGGCUUUAACGGGUAACGGAGGAUUAGGGUUCGAUUCCGGAGAGGGAGCCUGAGAAACGGCUACCACAUCUAAGGAAGGCAGCAGGCGCGUAAAUUACCCAAUCCUAAUUCAGGGAGGUAGUGACAAGAAAUAACGGACUGAGGCCUACGCUUCAGGAUUGCAAUGAGUAGAAUUUAAACCCCUUUGCGAGGAUCAAUUGGAGGGCAAGUCUGGUA